CUUUUACACCAUUGUUCUCGUCAUUAAUUUUCUCUAUUUUGGCAGAAUCGUCAGAGUUAUACCCAACUUCUUGGUGAUGCUAAAGCUUUGGUGAAGGCAGCACCUUCGAGGAUGCCUGGGUACAGGAGAGGUAAAGGUGAAACUAGGACUUCUAUUAAAGAUAAUAAGGUGGAAGCAAGUUCAGCUAAGAAAAGAGCUUCUGGCGUUGCUGAUCUUUUGAAAGCCUUCAUCACACGAUUUGUUCGACUAAAUGGCAUUCUUUUCACGCGGACAAGGUCUGUUCUGAAUUUUUACACUGUUUAGUAUAUUGUGACAUUAAAAUUACAAACCAAUGAUGCUUAUACGUUUCUCAUGUUUAUCCAGCUUGGAAACUUUUGAGGAAGUCUUCUCAAUGGUUAGAAAUGAUUUGUUAGAACUUCUUUCUUCUGGGCCAGAUGAGGAGUUCAACUUUGGUUCUGAUGCUGCACUGUGUCAACUAGUAAUUGUCAGACUGAUCAUUAUUCUCAUAUUUAUUGUUCAUGAUGUGAGCAAGGAAAACAAAAACCAAUCAUAUGCUGAUAGCCUACAGCGUUCAGUCCUGCUUCAUAAUGCAUUUACUGCUACCUUCGAAUUUAUGGGUUAUGUACUUGAACGCUGCAACAAGUUGAAUGAUCCUUCAUCUAGCUUUUUAUUGCCUGGUAUCAUGGUUUUCGUAGAAUGGUUAGCCUGUAACCAUAAUGUUGCAGUAGACAGUGGUCUGGAGGAGAAGCAAGCGAAUGUUAGAUCCUUUUUUUGGAACAAUGUUAUCGCCUUCUUUAAUAAGCUCUUAUCAAGUGGAUAUGUAUAUAUUGGUGAAGAUGAAGACGAAACAUGUUUCUCCCAUGCGAGUGAGUACGAUGAAUUUGAGACUGCUAAUCGUCUUGCAUUGCCUGAAGACUUUGAAUUGAGAGGAUUCUUUCCUCUUCUUCCUGCUCAAGUUACCCUCGAUUUUUCAAGGAAGCAUAGUUUUGGAAGUGAUGGUGGCAAUAAGGAAAAGAAAGCCCGCAUUCAGAGGAUUAUUGCAGCUGGAAAGGCUCUCGCAAAUGUGGUCCAGAUUGGGAAGGAGGGAAUAUAUUUUGACACGAAGUUGAAGAAAUUCUUGAUCGGUGUUGAACCCCAAAUUUCUGUUGAUUAUCCACUCACCAGCCCUUUAGAAGAUCCCAAAAUAAAUGGUAAUUCGCUAGAAAAUUCUGUUGAGGGCCAAGUGGUUCUAGCUGCUAGGCCCAAGCUGGAGGUUGAUGCUGAAGGAGAGGAAGACGACGAGGUUAUUGUCUUCAGGCCAUCUAAGACUGAGAAGCAUGUGAGUGACUUCGCAUCAAAGUUAACUUCUUCAGAGGUUCUUGCUUCCACUGUUGGUGAUGGAAGGGUUCAUUGUGGGAAUCAGAAUGGGUCUGUUUCUGUUGGAGAUGAGAGUUUCCUCUUACAGGGUGCUCCAAGCACUGGACGAUCUAUAGCUGUUGCUAACUGCACUUCUCAGUAUAUGCUACCAGUCCAACCCAGCUUUUCAAAGUACUUGGUAGAACAAGCUCCAACCCUGAAUGGCUUGUCCCACUUGAGUUUGAUGGAAAAUGGAUCUUUUAUGAAACCUGCUCUGCAAGAUCAAUUGGGAGUGUCCCAGCCUGCUGCUUCUGCUGUUCCCUACCCUCGGUUUGUCAACACUGAUUCUGGACAUAAUUAUCCUGUUCAGAUUUCACAAACUGCUGUAACAUCUAAAUUUGAUUCCAUUAUGUACCCCAGAGCAGCUACUGAUGGCCCGUUUGUCAAACCAUCACCAGCCAUAUCAGCAGGCAUAAAAAAGAAUCCUGUGAAUCAACCUGUUCGGCAUUUUGGGCCCCCACCUGGCUUUGGUUCCACUCCUUCUAAAACUGUGGAUGAGUCAUUGAACAGCAUGACAUUGAAAAAUGAAAAUCAUUUAACCCCUCAAAUGGACGAACAUAGCUGGCUAGAUGGAUAUGAGUUAUCUUCAAAUCAAAGUGCUGGAUUUAACAAGUCCAUUAAUCAUGUGGGACCAAAAUUCCCUUCUGCGAGCAAGAACAGUGGUUCAAUGGGAAUGACAAGCUUCCCUUUCCCUGGGAAGCAAGUCUCUGUGAUGCAAGUCCAGAGUCAAAACCAGAAAAGCUGGCUCGACUAUCAGUUGCCAGAGCAUUUGAUGCAGUACCAGGAGCAGCAGCAACAAUUUCAUGGAGGAAAUCAACAUUAUGUCAGGUCAAAGAAGUAUCAAGGACAAUCUCCUUUGGAAAGUCACUUCUUUGUGUGAGAUGAUUAGGGGAGCAUAGAUGGUAAGGUGUAUUCUGCCUCUUUAGUUUUUAGUCUUCAAAUCAUUAUUUUCUUCCUUCCCUCUCUAUAGAUGGGGGGCAGUUUCCUACUAUCUUGAAAUUGACUUUAUGUUGAGAUGCUCCACUUGAAUUUCUACCACAUCAAAUUUUCUUAACGUAUUAAGGUUUGAACAGUUUGACGCGACAAAUAUCCAUGGCUGGGUUGCUAUCAUUUCCACCAUUGCUUUUGCUGAAUCUUCCGUGUUGAGUUUUUGUUGGAGCAUGGUAGUAGUUGGAGUGUUGAAGGCACCUGAUUUUGAACAGGUUUCUCUCUGUCAAUUGACUUUUUCUUUUAAGAUGUUAGUUUUUCCUUUCAAAUUACGUAAAAUAAUCAAAACGUCUGACACAGUAGCCUUUUAUUUUGAUUUUAUACUGACUGAAUGUGUUUGUUCUUCUGAGUGUUAGUUUCUUCCUUUUGGCAUAUUUCUCUUUUUCCUUUUCUCAACUGUGGUUUUCAGCUCGAGGAAAAUGGUUUUUUUCAUGUGAAAGUGAUUUUGCAAUCUUUGGCCUUGCUGUUUGAGCAUCGCUUGCAUUUAACUUUUUCCCCCCUUGGUUCUCUCUAUUUUUAGCUCCUAAUGAAUGCAUAUAUGACCAUUUAGGGUCCUUUUGAUUGAGAGUUCCAACAUCUUUUUCUCUUUUACUUUUGGUUCGAUUGAAGAGAGGACAAACUGGGUCUGCCUAACUGUACUUUGCCCCCAUUUUCUUUUUUCACUGGUCUAGACGAGUUGUUUGGUAGAAGGGGUGUUGCCUUUGGUUACCAAUUUAUUAGUACCUUCUCUAUCUCGUGUUUUAUUUUUGCGAUAAAAUCUUGCUCCGAGUACCUUAUGUGUGCUUGUGUAUGUUUCUUGCAAGAUGAAUGAUAACUACCUUCACCAUUAGCCUUACAAGAGAAAGUGCUCAUUUUAUCCCUUAAAUAGCAACUAUCUCUAUAUUUGUCUUACCUUCCCCAACAUCCUUCAAUCAGAUGAAGAACUUGACUUCCUACAAUGCGAUCUGUUUAAUGAUGUAGAUAUUGCCAAUCGGCUCCUUGAUAAUGCUGUCAUACUACUUCGCCACCAGAAUAUUCUCUCCUGGGCACUGAUGCAUUUGUUACUUGGUAAAUGUGUGUAGCUUGGCCUAUGGAGUUAUUUGACACUGCAAUGAUUUGAUUAGUUUACUAAAUGAAGUUUGUAGCAAAUUGCUAAAUGGAUUUUUGCCUUUUGUAACUAUUUUGGACAUUUCUAAACCUUAUUUAGAAAAACAAUAGUCAAAAGCUAUUGCCCCUUGAGGGAAAAAAUAAUGAAUGGAGAUUAGAGCAUGGAUUUAGCCUGGAGACCCAUAUUCUGAUAUUUCAAACCAUGGCAUGGCUGGAGUAUCGUCAUCCCACUAGCAGACUAGGUGCAGAAGGAUAUGCUUGUAUUUUAUUGAAUGAUUUAGGUUUGAGUCAAUUUAUUAGCACUCCAUAAUUUUGGUUUUAUAUUGAGAAUUCGACUUAGGUUGAUUAUUCACAAUGCGAAUUAAAAUGGUAGAAUUUGAUAGCUAAACCUCACCCCCAAAAAAGGGAUUCAUUUGGUCUUUUAUACCUCUUUGUUGUCAUUUUUAUGUGUCAUUGCCCUCUAGUUGGAGGCUCUCUGUAAUUAUAAUGCCUUGUAUCACACACUGGGUAAAUUGUAUUAAUAUCUUUUUAGUUUUAUAUGCAGCUUCGGCGAGCUUCCAGACCUAUUGUAUGGAGCUUAUGAUAUCAAUAGGUGAUGUAACUGGUAAUUUUACAUGCAGGAGUGCCUUGUCUGGUUGGUCAGUCAGCCCUCUUCAGGAAUAUUGGGUUAUUCCCUGCAGUUAUGGGCAUUUGGAUGGAAUCAAUAGAAGUAUUUGGUUAUUCUAUUUUGCUAGGUGAAAGUGCUCAACUGAAUUGUUAGUACUUGCCUGAAAUGCCGCACUAGGCAUUUCAACAGCUAAACUUUCAAGUUAUAUUCUUGGCAGUCUCUACACUAGAGCUUUGCCUUUGCCUGAAGUUCUGAAAUGAUAUAUUCUGUGUGAAACUCGUGGGGAAGUUUCUGCGUUAGUGGAGUAUGUUAAGGAUGUUAUUGGUAUAACUAUGAAAUUAGUAACAUACAAGGAAUGUGAACUUUCACAUUUGAUUUUUUUUAUUUGUAAUAAUGUCGUGUCGCGUAAAACUCGUGGUUGCUUAACCGUUUAUGAGAUACAUUGUGGUGUUACAUUGUCUUUGGGAUCAAUGGUGUUCUUGUGUUGCAACUAUCAUAAUGUUCG
RNAcentral lists this long non-coding RNA (4580 nucleotides) under Olea europaea subsp. europaea. The record is from RNAcentral. Lineage: Eukaryota; Viridiplantae; Streptophyta; Magnoliopsida; Lamiales; Oleaceae.